RNAcentral lists this ribosomal RNA (757 nucleotides) under uncultured archaeon. Its description in RNAcentral is "bacterial SSU rRNA". It matches the Rfam family "Archaeal small subunit ribosomal RNA", at positions 1 to 763 of the family's 1478-position model. The record is from RNAcentral.
UUCGCCCUUGUUGAUCCUGCCGGACCCGACUGCUAUCAGAGUGAGAUUAAGCCAUGCGAGUCAACGUAGCAAUACGUGGCACACGGCUCAGUAACACGUAGUCAACAUAACCAAAGGACGUGGAUAAACUCGGGAAACUGAGGCUAAACCGCGAUAAUUCAAGAUACCUGGAAUGGUUUUUGAUCAAAAUCUAUAUGGCCUUUGGAUUGGACUGCGUCCGAUCAGGCUGUUGGUGAGGUAAUGGCCCACCAAACCUGUAACCGGUACGGGCUCUGAGAGGAGGAGCCCGGAGAUGGGUACUGAGAAAAGGACCCAGGCCCUAUGGGGCGCAGCAGGCGCGAAACCUCUGCAAUAGGCGAAAGCCUGACAGGGUUACUCUGAGUGACUUUCGCUAAGAAAGUCUUUUGACACCUCUAAAAAUGGUGUAGAAUAAGGGGUGGGCAAGUCUGGUGUCAGCCGCCGCGGUAAUACCAGCACCCCGAGUGGUCGGGACGAUUAUUGGGCCUAAAGCAUCCGUAGCCGGUUUUACAAGUCCUCCGUUAAAUCCAGCUGCUUAACAGAUGGGCUGCGGAGGAUACUAUAAGACUAGGAGGCAGGAGAGGCAAGCGGUACUCAGUGGGUAGGGGUAAAAUCCGUUGAUCCAUUGAAGACCACCAGUGGCGAAGGCGGCUUGCCAGAAUGCGCUCGACGGUGAGGGAUGAAAGCUGGGGGAGCAAACCGGAUUAGAUACCCGGGUAGUCCCAGCUGUAAACGAUGC